AUUAGGUUAUAUAUUAUUUAUAUUACAUUGUAAGUCAAUAGAAGGAGCUUUUAGGGAUAAAAAAGUUAAUAAUCGUGUAAUUUUUGAUUUAUUUCAAGAGCCAGCUGUUAAAAUUUUGCUUCCUUUGAAAUAACACGAAUUUGCGAACAUGCUAUUAUAAGUAUUCACCGACACCGUGGAACAAUAUUUGUACACAUUAAGUUUGUUGGGAUCGACAACGAAAAACCCACCGGUAUUGGCUUGACUCAAAUGUUGAAGGUGGGUGGGUAUACAUACACAUGUGAAAAGUUCCACAUGCGAUGUAUAGUUUGAUGACGUACUGGUGACUACUAUUAAACAUGUAUAAGAUUUGAAGAUUGUAUUGAUCGUGUACGAUGAAUCGCAAACACCAUAAUAUUAGUGCGGUACUAGGCAAUUUGCGAUAAGCAAUUAUCAAGACGAACGAUUGCAAAUAAACCACAAUAUUAAAUCGUACUACUGUGUUUGUAUGUCUCGACUCUAGACCAUUUGUAUGACGGAUACGAGUACAUAAAGAACCUUGAUUUAAUAUGUUCACAUUAUAAAGCUUUUGCUAUUAUCAUUAGACGCUGAACGAAUGACCGCUAAUAAUAUAAAACUUUUUUUUUUAAA
Long non-coding RNA from Melanaphis sacchari, 630 nucleotides. RefSeq lists it as uncharacterized. The transcript has 3 exons. Lineage: Eukaryota; Metazoa; Arthropoda; Insecta; Hemiptera; Aphididae. The record is from RefSeq and is a predicted model, not a curated record.